Long non-coding RNA from Bombus huntii, 3332 nucleotides. RefSeq lists it as uncharacterized. The transcript is spliced from 3 exons. Lineage: Eukaryota; Metazoa; Arthropoda; Insecta; Hymenoptera; Apidae. The record is from RefSeq and is a predicted model, not a curated record.
UAUCAGACAUAAAAACGAUAAUCGAGUUUUCCAGCAUGUUAGUCUGCCUCAACGCCUGGACAACUCUACCGACAGAUUCAUCCAUGGCGGUAACCACGCCUGAAAACAAGGAAACAUACAUUGCAAUAAGAUGCUGCGAGAAUAUAACAAGCAGUAGUUGAUGCACUGAAAACAAGGCGACAAAUAUAAGAGUCACGGUCCAAGCUCGAGUGCAAGUUGAAGGUGUCAGGUCUAAAUGCAAAAGUACGAGGAAUGACAAGCUUGUCGAUUGGAAAAGUAGACCAAGACUGUAACCCGAAAACAAGGUCGUACGUUUACAUAAACCUCUCUUUUUAUUUUAGUACGCUGAAUCAGCCCUUGCUGUGCUUCACACGUGUUCUCAUUCGUCCUAUGUAUUUUCAGAUUGGGCUUAAAUUUUAUCAGCACAGGGUGUACCGUAACACCCCACGUUGGAUCCACUUCAGCAGAAGACAGAAAGGACAAAAACAACGAGAAAGUCUUACCAAAUCGUCAGCCAUAAACACAAUAAUAUGAGGCGACGUUUCAUACAGGCCGAAUGCACAAUCGAUGAACAAUAUUAGGGACAGCAAAGACGUACUUAUCCAAAUGAUGGAAAACCGACGCAUUCUUCGCAGAGUUGAACGAAAGAAACAAAGUAAACAAAGAAGCAACAAAGUAAAAAUAUAAUAAAAAUUUAACGAAAAAUUGAAAAAUGCUUAACACAGAGCACUUUUUCUUUUUGGCACUUUAAAACACGGUUCACCAAGGAUGAUGGUCAGAACAUUGUGCCCGCGAUGUUUACGAAGGAACUUCUAGGAAUGACGAAAGAAUGAGGAACAGAGAUAAACGUUUAUAUAGUCCACCCACGAAGAAGCAUGUCAUGAAUGGAUCACUCGAAAGGGGAGGGAAAGUACACUAAUAAUUACGACAAUAAAGAAGGUACGUGUUUCAGCUGGGUUGCUUCUCGUCUUACGCGUUAUUUUCCGUACUUAUGUAAUUGUCUAUCUGCGUACGAGAUAUUCUGUACGUGUCGACUAAUUUUUAAGUGCUAUUUAAGUUAUAAUAGAAUAUAUUAUAAUAACUGGAUAUAUAUUAACUGUUAGAAAAAAUCAAGGAAACGACAUACUGAUCUUGAUGUCUGAUCAAAGUUUUAUGAAAUUCAAACAGGUUCACAAAAGAAAUACUGAUUCAAAGUAAGCUCCCUUAUUGUCUCGGUGGUAACUAAGGAACGAUAACAAAGAAAUUAUCAAAAUAUUUUCUUAAAUAUCUUGAUAAUUAAUAAUUUGUUUACUAUUGUACCCCAUUACUCCUUUGCGUAGAAUGACGAGGGGAAUCUUUCUAUAUAAAAAUAAGUAUACAUUUUCAUUCAAAAAUAUAAUGCAAUUGUUGAUUGUACACACACCUUUGCACUUUUAAACAAAACACGAUCCUGCGGAUGCACUCUCUUAACCAUUCGUCUUUCUCCUUUGACAUUUUUCUGUGACUGCACUGGUUACGAAGUUAUAACCUAACACAAUUGCAUGGACCACCCUAUACACAUUUCCAGACUGCUUUCAAAUUUUACCAAUAUGAUCAUGAUAGUCGCGUCUCAUUACACUGAUAAAAUUUCAAAAUGCUUUGUAUAUCAUAAUAUAUGUAUAUACAUAAAAGUUUUCCACAUAUCUUAAAGUGAAUGAAUUUCAAAAUAUUGAAAUAAACGAAAAAAACAAAUUACAGCUAGAUGCUUGGGAGAUGUAUUUACAAUUUCAAAACUCACAAAACUCACAAAAUGUAUUUAAAAGUUUAAAAGAAGGAGUCGGAAGAAGAUAAAGUUCUUAAGAUCUUUAUUAAAGGAAUGAAACAAGCGAGGACAAUAAUUCUAAAAGAAAAUCAAACUUCCGUUCCUUUAUUUCUAAUUCUAUAAUACUUUAAAAUUUAUUUAAAAAAAUACUCAGUUUACAGUUUUCGUCUUCGCAACUUCCAAUAAAAACUCAUAAUCCUAUACUUCUGAAAUACACAUUGCAUCGUCAUUCUCAUCGAAAAACAUAGAAUUCUGGAAUAAUCUUUUUUACACGUGUAAUAGGUAAGUAUAUCUAUAUUAUAUAAUGUUCAGCUAAAUGUAUAACUAAAUAGAUAUUUUAUUCAAUAAUCUCCGACAAUCUUUAAAAAGAUAAAAAAUGUGCUUUAUAUUUUUGCUGCAUUGCCUUAUUUUAUUAUAUAAUUUAUUAUAUAUAAAAUAUAUUAUAUAAAUAUAAAAAUAUAUAUUAUAUAAAAUUACUAUUUCCCUCUCAUUGACAUACUUUAAUUGGAAGACGUCGCUCAUUUGCCGCAACAACGACUGGAAAUUUCUAGUUUUUUUAGUUAUUGGCGCAAAAAAAACAGUUGAUCUUUAAGCUGUUAACCUCUCCGCAUUUACUGACAAGGUGUCUCGUAAACUGAUUUUUACCGAAUCUAUGAAUAAAAUGUCUCGCACUAAUGCGUGUUUUAGUGAAUAAAACACAUGUUAAUGCUGCAUAAAUUCAUAAUAAUGCAGCACUAAUAUCAAUAAACAUUGUAUCGUGAACUAUCUCGCCCAUAGAUAUAAAGGAUUAAUAAUAAAUUAAACGAAAGUAUUAAUAAAUGAUAAUAAAAUAAAACCUUUAUUAGGUGAAUACAAAUAUAUCCCAAUAUUAGACUGAGGUAGACAUAAAAUUGCAUAAUUAUUAUCUGCCUGUAAUUAAAUAUUUUAGCACAACUUUUCCUUUUAAAUUUGUAUUUCUUUAAAACACUCAUAUUUUUCUAUACUCUUGUUGGUUAAAGAUGGAGAUAUCCGUCAUUUCUAAUAUCCAAUUAAUAUCUUUAUUCAAUAUAUUUUCAACCCAUUAAAUACUAAUUCUAUAUUAAAUUAUUAAAUCAUAGUGAUAUAAUAUUUUAUUGUACAACAAGAGAAUUUAAUAAUCAUAUAACAGUUUAUAAACGCAAUAAGGUUUAUUCAUAGAAUCGUUGAAAAAUUACGCAUAUUUUGUAUAUAAAUAAUAAAGUUGUGAACCCUUACAACAAACCAUUUUUUAUUAACCUUUGAAAUACCAUCAAUAUAGAAAUUAAUGUUAUUUUUUAAACCUUUAAAACCUUUUUUAGACCUCUGAGAUCUUUUUUAAACUUCUUAAACCUUUUUUAUACCUUUUAAACCAUUUUUGAAACUAUAAUGAAGAUAUUUCUAUUACAUUUUACUGAUCAUGUUCUAUUAUUUUAUUGCAUUAUUCUAAAUAUUAUAUUCAAUACAUGAUAAAAACCAUUUUUUCUUUGACUUUUUAAUAAUGAAUAAAGUGGAAGAUACAUUAACAUAAAGAUGUAGAAAAUUGUUUUAAAUUUAU